CUCCUUGGUCUCGGGGGUGGUACUUACUGGGACGCUAGAGCUGGCAUGACUGACCGAAGGGUCCACCAUGGGGGGAGCCUGUGGCUUAAUUUGAAUCAACACGGGGAAACUUACCAGGACCAGAUGUUUUUUAUGACUGACAGGCUUCGGGUCUUUCAGGAUAUUGCUUUUGGUGGUGCAUGGCCGUUGGUGGUGCGUGGGUUGACCUGUCUAGCGUUGAUUCAGCUAACGAGCGAGAUUAUCGCCAAUUAUAUAGCUCGCAUUGGCUUCAGUGUUGA
This 278-nucleotide ribosomal RNA is filed under the name Pentatrichomonas hominis. RNAcentral describes it as "partial small subunit ribosomal RNA". The stretch from base 51 to 278 matches the Rfam family "Eukaryotic small subunit ribosomal RNA", at positions 1154 to 1380 of the family's 1831-position model. Lineage: Eukaryota; Parabasalia; Trichomonadida; Trichomonadidae. The record is from RNAcentral.